GCCGGGAUGGCGGAAUUGGUAGACGCGCCGGACUCAAAAUCCGGUGGGGUUAAACCCGUGAGAGUUCGAGUCUCUCUCUCGGCA
Molecule: transfer RNA, 84 nt
Filed under: Nitrospinaceae bacterium
Lineage: Bacteria; Pseudomonadati; Nitrospinota; Nitrospinia; Nitrospinales; Nitrospinaceae
Description: tRNA-Leu
Rfam family: tRNA
About the family: Transfer RNA (tRNA) molecules are approximately 80 nucleotides in length. Their secondary structure includes four short double-helical elements and three loops (D, anti-codon, and T loops). Further hydrogen bonds mediate the characteristic L-shaped molecular structure. tRNAs have two regions of fundamental functional importance: the anti-codon, which is responsible for specific mRNA codon recognition, and the 3' end, to which the tRNAs corresponding amino acid is attached (by aminoacyl-tRNA synthetases). tRNAs cope with the degeneracy of the genetic code in two manners: having more than one tRNA (with a specific anti-codon) for a particular amino acid; and 'wobble' base-pairing, i.e. permitting non-standard base-pairing at the 3rd anti-codon position.
Source: RNAcentral